UCAACCUCUCUCGCUCGGGAGUUUCAGGCCCACUCCCCUUGGAAAUAUCGCAUCUCUCCAAACUGGUUUCACUCGAUCUCUCCUACAAUCAUAAUCUCAUUCUCAAUGAUGGUAAUUCCGAGUUUCAGCAUCAAUUCCUCAAGUUUCUCCUUCAUAAUCUUACCCAAUUGAGACACCUUUCGCUUGCUUAUGUUCCCAUAUAUUCAGUUUUACCCAGAAAUCUUUCUUCUUUUUCUUCUCUAACACUUCUCGAUCUUUCUGCCACUGGAUUGCGCAGGGAAUUGCCGCAUGAAAUCUUCAUUCUUCCGAACUUGAAAACAUUAAGGUUACGUGGUAACCAUAAUGUCACCAGUGUUUUACCACAAUCCAACUUGAG
RNAcentral lists this long non-coding RNA (376 nucleotides) under Panax ginseng (ginseng). RNAcentral's name for it is "long non-coding RNA (PGIN_LNC012998)". Lineage: Eukaryota; Viridiplantae; Streptophyta; Magnoliopsida; Apiales; Araliaceae. The record is from RNAcentral.